RNAcentral lists this small RNA (148 nucleotides) under Macaca mulatta (Rhesus monkey). RNAcentral's name for it is "Metazoan signal recognition particle RNA (ENSMMUG00000056373.1)". Lineage: Eukaryota; Metazoa; Chordata; Mammalia; Primates; Cercopithecidae. The record is from Rfam by way of RNAcentral.
GCCGGGUGUGGUGGCGCACGCCUGUAAUCCCAGCUACUCGGGAGGCUGAGGCAGGAGAAUCACUUGAACCUGGGAGGCGGAGGUUGCAGUGAGCCAAGAUCACACCACUGUACUCCAGCCUGGGUGACAAAGCAAGACUCUGUCUCAA